CACAACUUCCGUAAAGAUCCGUUGUUUGCUUGUUGAGCGCAUUUGGCUCAUCGGGACGAAGCACCCAGCAGUGGCACCCAGUCAGGGUACUUUCACACGACUGCGACUUCCUGAACAACUCCUGCCUCGUCUGGCUGAUGUGUCAUAUGGGAAGGUGGCGUCUUUAAGCAGACCUGGAUCUGAGUCCACUAAGAGCUAGAGAUGCGGACCAGUGAGAGCAGAGAAUGACAGUGCCUGCAACAAAUUCAAGAAGUGGUAGUAACAAUGGACUGAACAUUGACUGAGUUGCAUUAGGGCACAAUCCAAAUCUGGGAGAAACGCUGGUAAUUUCAGAGAAGUCACAUAAUACAUUCAGAUUAUUAUUGCUGUACAGUAUAUUUGCUGUAGAAGUUUCAGAAUACAGUCACAUAAUAAAAUAAAUAACAUCUAAUAAACAUGUAUCCACACAUUUCUAAUAAAAUUACAACAAAAUUAACUUCCAAAA
Polypterus senegalus (gray bichir) is the source of this 484-nucleotide long non-coding RNA. RefSeq lists it as uncharacterized. NCBI's taxonomy places the organism in Eukaryota, Metazoa, Chordata, Cladistia, Polypteriformes, Polypteridae. The record is from RefSeq and is a predicted model, not a curated record. The transcript has 4 exons.